Molecule: ribosomal RNA, 253 nt
Filed under: uncultured bacterium
Lineage: Bacteria
Description: partial 16S ribosomal RNA
Rfam family: Bacterial small subunit ribosomal RNA
Source: RNAcentral
UACGUAGGUGACCAGCGUUGUCCGGAUUUACUGGGCGUAAAGAGCGCGCAGGCGGUCGUUCAAGUCGAGUGUGAAAGCCCCCGGCUCAACUGGGGAGGGUCAUUCGAUACUGAUCGACUGGAAGGCAGGAGAGGGAAGCGGAAUUCCCGGUGUAGUGGUGAAAUGCGUAGAUAUCGGGAGGAACACCAGUGGCGAAGGCGGGUCUCUGGACAGUUCCUGACGCUGAGGCACGAAGGCCAGGGGAGCAAACGGG